GAUGAACGCUAGCGGCAGGCCUAACACAUGCAAGUCGAGGGGUAACAGAGGUAGCUUGCUACUUGCUGACGACCGGCGCACGGGUGCGUAACGCGUAUACAGUCUUACCUUUUACUGGGGGAUAGCCUUUAGAAAUGAAGAUUAAUACCCAUAGUAUUACCGGUUCGCAUGGACUGGUAAUUAAAGAUUACGGUAAAAGAUGAGUAUGCGUCCUAUUAGCUAGAUGGAGUGGUAACGGCACACCAUGGCAACGAUAGGUAGGGGCCCUGAGAGGGGGAUCCCCCACACUGGUACUGAGACACGGACCAG
RNAcentral lists this ribosomal RNA (309 nucleotides) under uncultured bacterium. Its description in RNAcentral is "bacterial SSU rRNA". It matches the Rfam family "Bacterial small subunit ribosomal RNA", at positions 28 to 334 of the family's 1533-position model. The record is from RNAcentral.